AGUGUGAGGGGCAACACGAAAAACAACACGCCCGCCCCUCUGACCCUGAACCACUUCAUAAGAGCUCAGUCAAACUAUAUUUGACACAAUAAAGGACACAAUGAGGAACAUUGCCUUGACAACAAUGUUAUAUCUCUGCUGUCUCGACUGGAUCUGCGUCUCGGGCUCUGAGCCUCACACUGUGGAGGUCCAGCCUGGUCAAGACGUCACACUGCUCUGCUCCAACAUUUCUAAAGGGCCAACUCAGACAGACUGGUUCAGAGUGGUCAACAGAACCACGCCACGCUGCAUCUCCUCCAUGUUUGACGCAAACGGCAAAGCUUCAAACUGUGAUGGAUUUAACAAACAAUUUGAAAUGAGCUCCAACGUCUCUACUGUUUUCCUUAAAAUCAAAGCAGUGAAUGCCUCAGACUCUGGACUGUAUUUCUGUGGAUUUUACAUAGAUGCAAAUACAGUUAUCGCCAACGCAACAUAUUUAAUAGUUCAAGGUAAUGAUCAACUUGAGAAAGAUGUGGAAUCUGAAACUGAAAAAAACCCUGGUCCAUCGACAAACAUGAUGACCGUGAUCCUCGCUGGUCUGUGUGGUUUCCUCACUAUGGUCAUCACUUUUCUAUGUCUGAAACCUACAACAGAAUCCGGGCUCUGAUGAUUACAUGAACUGUGAAGUGCUGAGAUUCCUUCCAAAGUCAGGAAGAUGCAGGAGACCAGCGUUGAAGAGAGCAGAGGAGACGCGUGUUAGUUAUACAGUCAAGACCCAGGAAACUGGAAAGUAAUAGAUGUGUUAUCAUAUUAAACCUGUGUUCCCCACUUACAUAAUAACAUGUAAUCAGGUUAGAUUCAUGUACAGUGGAUUCAUGUUUCAUGUCCUUGUUCUCUCUCUUUAAUUUACAUUUGAUAGUAAGUACGUGAUGGUCUAUCAGGGGAGUGAGAUAAACAUUACACAGGAAGAGACAGAAAAGUGUGGACUGAGUCAAAGUCUUUAGUCAAACUCAAAUGUUUCAUAUACUGACUUAACUGGAUUCAACUGUAAGUAAAAAAAGUAAAUAUUAAUGAAUCAAGCCAGUGAUGACAAACAUUGUCAGGACAGCAAAGACUGAGACCACAGACAUCACAUGAUCCCCUGUUGUUACAGACCCAGAGUAAGAAUACAUUUAAUCCAUAACUUAUACCAGCCUACUAAUCAAUGUGUGUACCCUUGAUCACAGUCUGAAAUGUUUUGGAGGAGGAGUCAGUUCAGAACUUUUAAAGGAUGCUUGAGUGACACGUUAUUAGAUUCAA
Non-coding RNA from Betta splendens (Siamese fighting fish), 1278 nucleotides. The record is from the annotation of a RefSeq genome assembly. Lineage: Eukaryota; Metazoa; Chordata; Actinopteri; Anabantiformes; Osphronemidae.